GAGUCUCUCUGAGAUUCAUCCCCUCCAUCCUCCACUAUGCCGUCCUUUGUGACAAUACUCAUUGCACUGACCGCUUCCUCCUCAUGUGUUCUCUCACAGGUGGUUCUUACCCAGUCAGAGGCAGUACUGAAAAAACCUGGAGAAUCCCAUCAACUGACUUGUGCUGUUACUGGGCUUACUCUGAGUAGCGCCUGGAUGGGUUGGAUCAGACAGAAACCUGGCAAAGGACUUGAAUGGCUUGUGAACUAUUAUGGCACUUCUUCUGGGCAUAGUGCUUAUUCUUCUACAAUCCAAGGGCGAUUCACAGCCUCAAAGAGAGGCUCCAACUUCUACCUUCAAAUGAACAGCCUAAAGGCAGAAGACUCAGCCAUGUAUUACUGUGCAAGAGACACACAGUGA
This is a non-coding RNA of Elgaria multicarinata webbii, 399 nucleotides long. The record is from the annotation of a RefSeq genome assembly. NCBI's taxonomy places the organism in Eukaryota, Metazoa, Chordata, Lepidosauria, Squamata, Anguidae.